Molecule: ribosomal RNA, 1423 nt
Filed under: Staphylococcus aureus
Lineage: Bacteria; Bacillati; Bacillota; Bacilli; Caryophanales; Staphylococcaceae
Description: bacterial SSU rRNA
Rfam family: Bacterial small subunit ribosomal RNA
Source: RNAcentral
AUAAGACUGGGAUAACUUCGGGAAACCGGAGCUAAUACCGGAUAAUAUUUUGAACCGCAUGGUUCAAAAGUGAAAGACGGUCUUGCUGUCACUUAUAGAUGGAUCCGCGCUGCAUUAGCUAGUUGGUAAGGUAACGGCUUACCAAGGCAACGAUGCAUAGCCGACCUGAGAGGGUGAUCGGCCACACUGGAACUGAGACACGGUCCAGACUCCUACGGGAGGCAGCAGUAGGGAAUCUUCCGCAAUGGGCGAAAGCCUGACGGAGCAACGCCGCGUGAGUGAUGAAGGUCUUCGGAUCGUAAAACUCUGUUAUUAGGGAAGAACAUAUGUGUAAGUAACUGUGCACAUCUUGACGGUACCUAAUCAGAAAGCCACGGCUAACUACGUGCCAGCAGCCGCGGUAAUACGUAGGUGGCAAGCGUUAUCCGGAAUUAUUGGGCGUAAAGCGCGCGUAGGCGGUUUUUUAAGUCUGAUGUGAAAGCCCACGGCUCAACCGUGGAGGGUCAUUGGAAACUGGAAAACUUGAGUGCAGAAGAGGAAAGUGGAAUUCCAUGUGUAGCGGUGAAAUGCGCAGAGAUAUGGAGGAACACCAGUGGCGAAGGCGACUUUCUGGUCUGUAACUGACGCUGAUGUGCGAAAGCGUGGGGAUCAAACAGGAUUAGAUACCCUGGUAGUCCACGCCGUAAACGAUGAGUGCUAAGUGUUAGGGGGUUUCCGCCCCUUAGUGCUGCAGCUAACGCAUUAAGCACUCCGCCUGGGGAGUACGACCGCAAGGUUGAAACUCAAAGGAAUUGACGGGGACCCGCACAAGCGGUGGAGCAUGUGGUUUAAUUCGAAGCAACGCGAAGAACCUUACCAAAUCUUGACAUCCUUUGACAACUCUAGAGAUAGAGCCUUCCCCUUCGGGGGACAAAGUGACAGGUGGUGCAUGGUUGUCGUCAGCUCGUGUCGUGAGAUGUUGGGUUAAGUCCCGCAACGAGCGCAACCCUUAAGCUUAGUUGCCAUCAUUAAGUUGGGCACUCUAAGUUGACUGCCGGUGACAAACCGGAGGAAGGUGGGGAUGACGUCAAAUCAUCAUGCCCCUUAUGAUUUGGGCUACACACGUGCUACAAUGGACAAUACAAAGGGCAGCGAAACCGCGAGGUCAAGCAAAUCCCAUAAAGUUGUUCUCAGUUCGGAUUGUAGUCUGCAACUCGACUACAUGAAGCUGGAAUCGCUAGUAAUCGUAGAUCAGCAUGCUACGGUGAAUACGUUCCCGGGUCUUGUACACACCGCCCGUCACACCACGAGAGUUUGUAACACCCGAAGCCGGUGGAGUAACCUUUUAGGAGCUAGCCGUCGAAGGUGGGACAAAUGAUUGGGGUGAAGUCGUAACAAGGUAGCCGUAUCGGAAGGUGCGGCUGGAUCACCUCCUUUCUAAGGA